RNAcentral lists this long non-coding RNA (327 nucleotides) under Setaria italica (foxtail millet). Its description in RNAcentral is "long non-coding RNA (SITA_LNC004459)". The record is from RNAcentral. Lineage: Eukaryota; Viridiplantae; Streptophyta; Magnoliopsida; Poales; Poaceae.
UCAAUAUAUGCGCCCGAGUUCCUGAGUUGGAACCCGGCGUCUCCAAAGACUUCUGUCCUUUGUGCACUUGGCUGAGGCUUACAACGGAACAACUUCCUAAACAACUCGAGGCUUGGAGGAACUCCCAAAUAAACUUCGCAGAGGUGUACGAAAAUGGACAUAUGUAGUACACCAUUGGGGUUCAAAUGAACAAGUUGAAGCUUAUAGUACUCGAGGAUACCUCUGAAGAAGUCGGAGGUGGGCACUGCCAACCCCCUCUCCACAAAGUGUGCGAGCAUCACUGUCUCGCCUGGAUGUUCCUCAAAUUGCCACGCAUUUGGAAAAGCU